GAGCUAUGAGGAUUCUUGCGCCCCUGUGAUGGUGGGGUCCAUCAUGAUCAACUGAUUUGCGGAUGAAAUCGGGCGCUUCUGAGCUC
Small nucleolar RNA from Ziziphus jujuba (common jujube), 86 nucleotides. RefSeq annotates it as small nucleolar RNA snoR114. NCBI's taxonomy places the organism in Eukaryota, Viridiplantae, Streptophyta, Magnoliopsida, Rosales, Rhamnaceae. The record is from RefSeq and is a predicted model, not a curated record. The transcript has a single exon.